GGAGAUGUAGUUCAAAUGAUAGAGCGCUCGCUUAGCAUGCGAGAGGUACUGUGAUUGAUGCCCCGCAUCUCCA
This is a non-coding RNA of Nelumbo nucifera (sacred lotus), 73 nucleotides long. Lineage: Eukaryota; Viridiplantae; Streptophyta; Magnoliopsida; Proteales; Nelumbonaceae. The record is from Rfam.